AACGAACGCUGGCGGCAUGCCUAACACAUGCAAGUCGAACGAUACCUUCGGGUCUAGUGGCGCACGGGUGCGUAACGCGUGGGAACCUGCCCUUAGGUUCGGAAUAACUCCCCGAAAGGGGUGCUAAUACCGGAUAAUGUCAUCGGACCAAAGAUUUAUCGCCUUGGGAUGGGUCCGCGUUGGAUUAGCUAGCUGGUAGGGUAAAAGCCUACCAAGGCGACGAUCCAUAGCUGGUCUGAGCGGAUGAUCAGCCACACUGGGCCUGAGAGACGGCCCAGACUCCUACGGGUGGCAGCAGUGGGGAAUAUUGGACAAUGGGCGAGAGCCGGAUGCAUCAAGACCGCGUGGGUGAUGAAGGCCAGAGGGUUGUAAAGCUGUGUUGACCGGGAUGAUAGUGACGGUACCUUGAGAGUAAGCGCCGGCUAACUCCGUG
Molecule: ribosomal RNA, 433 nt
Filed under: uncultured bacterium
Lineage: Bacteria
Description: partial 16S ribosomal RNA
Rfam family: Bacterial small subunit ribosomal RNA
Source: RNAcentral